Lotus japonicus is the source of this 306-nucleotide long non-coding RNA. RefSeq lists it as uncharacterized. The record is from RefSeq and is a predicted model, not a curated record. NCBI's taxonomy places the organism in Eukaryota, Viridiplantae, Streptophyta, Magnoliopsida, Fabales, Fabaceae. The transcript has 3 exons.
AGCUUGUUUGAUGAACUUAUUGAAAAAUCAAAUUCAGAAGAGUUUUAAUAAGAUUAACUGAACACUUACUUGGUUUGAACAAACAGGGUGGGAAAGUGAAGUUGCAGUCUAUAGCGAUGCCGCUUUCUGAAUUUGACCAUGCAGAUAAGGGAGAUGUGCCGCAUGAUUCAUCUCCCUCGUCGGUCUAAAGUUGGACAAAAUGGACUACGCAAAAAGGAGAAAACAGUUUCAACUUUCACCAAUCAUAGAUAGAUAAAAAAUAAAAAUAAGUUAGAAUCACCUUACCAGUGGUAAUAUAAAACCAAA